Molecule: ribosomal RNA, 253 nt
Filed under: uncultured bacterium
Lineage: Bacteria
Description: partial 16S ribosomal RNA
Rfam family: Bacterial small subunit ribosomal RNA
Source: RNAcentral
UACGUAGGGUGCGAGCGUUAAUCGGAAUAACUGGGCGUAAAGCGUGCGCAGGCGGUUGUGCAAGACAGAUGUGAAAUCCCCGGGCUUAACCUGGGAACUGCAUUUGUGACUGCACAGCUGGAGUGCGGCAGAGGGGGAUGGAAUUCCGCGUGUAGCAGUGAAAUGCGUAGAUAUGCGGAGGAACACCGAUGGCGAAGGCAAUCCCCUGGGCCUGCACUGACGCUCAUGCACGAAAGCGUGGGGAGCAAACAGG